This 239-nucleotide ribosomal RNA is filed under the name uncultured bacterium. RNAcentral describes it as "partial 16S ribosomal RNA". It matches the Rfam family "Bacterial small subunit ribosomal RNA", at positions 116 to 354 of the family's 1533-position model. The record is from RNAcentral.
CGUGAGUAACCUGCCCUGGAGUGGGGAAUAACAGCUGGAAACAGCUGCUAAUACCGCAUAAUGCAGUUGGGCCGCACGGCUCUGACUGCCAAAGAUUUAUCGCUCUGGGAUGGACUCGCGUCUGAUUAGCUAGUUGGUGGGGCAACGGCCCACCAAGGCGACGAUCAGUAGCCGGACUGAGAGGUUGGCCGGCCACAUUGGGACUGAGACACGGCCCAGACUCCUACGGAAGGCAGCAG